RNAcentral lists this small RNA (144 nucleotides) under Streptomyces albus. Its description in RNAcentral is "c-di-AMP sequence". It matches the Rfam family "c-di-AMP riboswitch aptamer (ydaO/yuaA leader)". From Rfam's summary of the family: This family represents a conserved RNA structure found upstream of the ydaO and yuaA genes in Bacillus subtilis and related genes in other bacteria. The ydaO/yuaA element is thought to act as a genetic "off" switch for the ydaO and yuaA genes in its native state. RNAcentral also lists the same sequence under 1 other name. The record is from RNAcentral. Lineage: Bacteria; Bacillati; Actinomycetota; Actinomycetes; Kitasatosporales; Streptomycetaceae.
CGCGCGCACGCGCCUAAUCCCGCAAGGGAGCCGGGGAACCACUUCUUGGGGUGAAUCGGCCGCCUCUUCUUCGAGAGGCGGCGGUAGGAGACCUUCCUGCUCCGAACCCGUCAGCUAACCCGGUAGGCGAGAAGGAAGGAAAGG